Molecule: ribosomal RNA, 254 nt
Filed under: uncultured bacterium
Lineage: Bacteria
Description: partial 16S ribosomal RNA
Rfam family: Bacterial small subunit ribosomal RNA
Source: RNAcentral
UACGGAGGGUGCAAGCGUUUAAUCGGAAUUACUGGGCGUAAAGCGCACGUAGGUGGUUUUCUAAGUCAGCUGUGAAAUCCCCGGGCUCAACCUGGGACUUGCAGUUGAAACUGGGAAGCUAGAGUAGGGUAGAGGGGUGUGGAAUUCCAGGUGUAGCGGUGAAAUGCGUAGAUAUCAGGAGGAACACCCGAGGCGAAGGCGGCUCUCUGGGUCGUACCUGACGCUGAGGCGCGAAAGCUAGGGGAGCAAACAGG